GCUUAUUCUCAGGGCGGGGCGAAAUUCCCCACCGGCGGUAAAUCAGCGUACGCUGAAAGCCCGCGAGCGCUCCUGAACGUUCAGGAGGUCAGCAGAUCCGGUGUAAUUCCGGGGCCGACGGUUAAAGUCCGGAUGGGAGAGAGUAACG
This 148-nucleotide non-coding RNA is filed under the name Trabulsiella guamensis. RNAcentral describes it as "FMN sequence". It matches the Rfam family "FMN riboswitch aptamer (RFN element)". From Rfam's summary of the family: The RFN element is a highly conserved domain that is found frequently in the 5'-untranslated regions of prokaryotic mRNAs that encode for flavin mononucleotide (FMN) biosynthesis and transport proteins. The record is from RNAcentral. Lineage: Bacteria; Pseudomonadati; Pseudomonadota; Gammaproteobacteria; Enterobacterales; Enterobacteriaceae.